CCUGCCACCUUAACAUUUAGGCUACCCCUGGGGAUCUUGUCUGAGCUCGGAAGCUAAGCAUUAUUAUUCCUGAUUUGUACUGGAAUAGGAGGCCACCUGGAAAUAUCAGACGUUGUCAACU
RNAcentral lists this ribosomal RNA (121 nucleotides) under Salvator merianae (Argentine black and white tegu). Lineage: Eukaryota; Metazoa; Chordata; Lepidosauria; Squamata; Teiidae. The record is from RNAcentral.